Molecule: ribosomal RNA, 465 nt
Filed under: uncultured bacterium
Lineage: Bacteria
Description: partial 16S ribosomal RNA
Rfam family: Bacterial small subunit ribosomal RNA
Source: RNAcentral
GACGAACGCUGGCGGCGUGCUUAACACAUGCAAGUCGAACGGAAAGGCCCUGCUUGCAGGGUACUCGAGUGGCGAACGGGUGAGUAACACGUGGGUGAUCUGCCCUGCACUUCGGGAUAAGCUUGGGAAACUGGGUCUAAUACCGGAUAGGAACCAUCUUUAGUGUGGUGGUUGGAAAGUUUUUUCGGUGUAGGAUGAGCUCGCGGCCUAUCAGCUUGUUGGUGGGGUAAUGGCCUACCAAGGCGGCGACGGGUAGCCGGCCUGAGAGGGUGUACGGCCACAUUGGGGCUGAGAUACGGCCCAGACUCCUACGGGAGGCAGCAGUGGGGAAUAUUGCACAAUGGGCGCAAGCCUGAUGCAGCGACGCCGCGUGGGGGAUGAAGGCCUUCGGGUUGUAAACUCCUUUCGCUAGGGACGAAGCUUUUUGUGACGGUACCUAGAUAAGAAGCACCGGCUAACUACGUG